GAAACUUUAGGAAGACGUGCAACAUCAACCACAUCCUGGCUGUCUACUGUCUGUAGUGUAGCAAGAAACUCCAAGAGAUACAACUGGAGGCAUGACAACGUUCUGCGUGUCAUAGCUGGAGCCUUGCUAGACCAACUCAAGACUUACAAUUCCGCAUUUUCCACGCCCUCCGACAAAUAAUCGUUACGAUUCAAGUUGAAGAAUGGGAGCUAUGAUGAGCUGAAGUUGAGGAAGGAGAUGCCGUUUGAGAGGGCGAAUGACUGGAUGCUGAUCUGGGACGAGGACACGAUACAACACAUCUACAACACAUCCGAGAGACCUGAAAUUGUAGAGAGAAGUGGUUCUGAUAGAACUGACUUGUGGUGACCAAGUCGUGCGUAAAUAAGUAAGGUACAACAGCUAGAGCUGGCAUCGACGGGUGAGUUUGGAAAGCUCAGCUCUUUACGGUAGAGAUUGGGUUACCAGCUCUACUCAACUGCUUUGGACUGACGAAGAGAACGAAGAAGAAAGCACUGAAUGAGGCUGCUUUGGUCGCUCUUCAAUGUUCUUAUGCCAUUUAGUUAGCCCGUGACAGCAAGAAAUGGUCUACCUUCUACGAAAUCGCAAGGUAGAAGCCAUAAACUGCGAAAGCUGGACCCAUAAAACAUGCGAAAGCUGCAACGAGGAUCGCAAGUACUGGUGGAAUACACGUACAGUAAUGGCUUGCUGACUAGAUGUAUAGAUGGAGUUGCUAUCGAACGAUACAGAACUCAGGAGGGGAUCUACAAUUUGCAAAGACGAUUUAUUUUCGGCCAGAAAUUUACGGAGUUCAUUCGUCUUCAGUCUUGGUGCAGUUGUUUCUCUCACUAUCAGUGACGGUUCGAGGAGACACUGCAUCGCAAUGCUCGGUGAAGAUACGGGGAUAUGAGGCUGUUAUCUCUCUCUCAAAGUCCACUGCACGUCGUCACAGAGCCUCAAUCCGAUCAGAGCAAGCAGCAAAGAUCAAAAGAGACUUAACGUCCAAUGUCAGACAGAAAAAUUUCGACGGAAAA
This is a long non-coding RNA of Bolinopsis microptera, 1031 nucleotides long. RefSeq lists it as uncharacterized. The transcript has 3 exons. The record is from RefSeq and is a predicted model, not a curated record. NCBI's taxonomy places the organism in Eukaryota, Metazoa, Ctenophora, Tentaculata, Lobata, Bolinopsidae.